This is a long non-coding RNA of Rattus rattus (black rat), 350 nucleotides long. RefSeq lists it as uncharacterized. The record is from RefSeq and is a predicted model, not a curated record. The transcript has 3 exons. Lineage: Eukaryota; Metazoa; Chordata; Mammalia; Rodentia; Muridae.
CCUCGGCGCGGUCCUCUAGGAGCCCUCGGUGUCGGUGUUGUCGCUGCCUGUCGUAUUCCCGUGAUCCCCUUCUCCCUGCCGCCAGCUGUUCUGCAUCUUGCGGAGCGCCCGCUUCCUGUGGGACCCGCAGUGUGAGCAGGUUGUGAGCAGGUGCGUGAGCCUAAGGGUCAGCCCUUCGCCACUGCCUCUCCUUGCCUCAGGGAGUGUCGUCUUUGGUUGGAGCGGUGUGAUUCUGAGACAAGGUCCCACAGCAGUUCCUGGCUAGGCCGCUGCUCCAUGGCGUGCCGGAGCUUCAGUGUGUGUUUGCGCUCCACCUUGCAGUCAUCCUCUGCCUUCAUGAGGCUGUGCCU